GAUGAACGCUAGCUACAGGCUUAACACAUGCAAGUCGAGGGGAAACGACAUCGAAAGCUUGCUUUUGAUGGGCGUCGACCGCCGCACGGGUGAGUAACGCGUAUCCAACCUGCCCACCACUUGGGGAUAACCUUGCGAAAGUAAGACUAAUACCCAAUGACGUCUCUAGAAGACAUCUGAAGGAGAUUAAAGAUUUAUCGGUGAUGGAUGGGGAUGCGUCUGAUUAGCUUGUUGGCGGUGUAACGGCCCACCAAGGCGACGAUCAGUAGGGGUUCUGAGAGGAAGGUCCCCCACAUUGGAACUGAGACACGGUCCAAACUCCUACGGGAGGCAGCAGUGAGGAAUAUUGGUCAAUGGGCGAGAGCCUGAACCAGCCAAGUAGCGUGCAGGAUGACGGCCCUAUGGGUUGUAAACUGCUUUUAUAAGGGAAUAAAGUGAGUCUCGUGAGACUUUUUGCAUGUACCUUAUGAAUAAGGACCGGCUAAUUCCGUGCCAGCCGCCGCGUAA
RNAcentral lists this ribosomal RNA (507 nucleotides) under uncultured bacterium. RNAcentral's name for it is "partial 16S ribosomal RNA". It matches the Rfam family "Bacterial small subunit ribosomal RNA", at positions 28 to 522 of the family's 1533-position model. The record is from RNAcentral.